AUGGCGGGUGCCUCGUUGUCUUCCUCCGGCUCCCACUCCUCCAGCACCCCGACGCCACUCGCCGCCGUCAAGGCCGAGCCCCAAGAGACGCCGGAGUGCCGGCGCAGUGGCAGCCUUGCCAUAAACAAGGGUCGCUGCUGCCAACCUUCUCCUCCUCCCCGCUCCCAUCUUCGCCUAGUCAGGCCGAAGAAGGAGCCGGCGACGCCGCCUGUCGUCGUCAAACAGGAGCACAUCGACAUUGCCGCCGACCUCGAGACCGAUCUGAAGUGGGCACGAGACGACUACGUCCGGGAGGAAAUUGAGCACCAGCGCCGCACCCUCAAGGAGAUAGCUGCAUGGCGUCGCAGCCGGGACAAGGACGGCAUGUCAUCCUCGACGACAGCGACGAGGAGGCGCCGGCGCCGUCCAACCCUGCCCGCCUCGGCGAUCCAUGACAGGGCUGCAGCAAGGACGGCGACGUCCAAGAUGGCGACGGUGACGGCGGCGACGACGACAGCGACUACACCGCCUUCUACCGCCUCCUCGGCAUGCAGUAGGCUCGGGGUGGCGGCGGUGUAA
RNAcentral lists this ribosomal RNA (558 nucleotides) under Triticum aestivum (bread wheat). Its description in RNAcentral is "partial small subunit ribosomal RNA". The record is from RNAcentral. Lineage: Eukaryota; Viridiplantae; Streptophyta; Magnoliopsida; Poales; Poaceae.